GGGCUGUUAGCUCAGUUGGUAGAGCAGUUGACUUUUAAUUAAUUGGUCGAAGGUUCAAAUCCUUCACAGCCCACCA
Molecule: transfer RNA, 76 nt
Filed under: Moritella yayanosii
Lineage: Bacteria; Pseudomonadati; Pseudomonadota; Gammaproteobacteria; Alteromonadales; Moritellaceae
Description: tRNA-Lys
Rfam family: tRNA
About the family: Transfer RNA (tRNA) molecules are approximately 80 nucleotides in length. Their secondary structure includes four short double-helical elements and three loops (D, anti-codon, and T loops). Further hydrogen bonds mediate the characteristic L-shaped molecular structure. tRNAs have two regions of fundamental functional importance: the anti-codon, which is responsible for specific mRNA codon recognition, and the 3' end, to which the tRNAs corresponding amino acid is attached (by aminoacyl-tRNA synthetases). tRNAs cope with the degeneracy of the genetic code in two manners: having more than one tRNA (with a specific anti-codon) for a particular amino acid; and 'wobble' base-pairing, i.e. permitting non-standard base-pairing at the 3rd anti-codon position.
Source: RNAcentral